Molecule: RNA transcript, 2916 nt
Organism: Strongylocentrotus purpuratus (purple sea urchin)
Lineage: Eukaryota; Metazoa; Echinodermata; Echinoidea; Camarodonta; Strongylocentrotidae
Exons: 9
Source: RefSeq, a predicted model, not a curated record
CGUCUUUGUUAUCUCUCGAGCUCUCGCAUCCGACCUCUGCUCCUCUCGCGUUAGCGCUCCGAUCCGGACUACCGAAAAUCGCGAAAUCAAUUUAAGUACGACGGUUAGGUACACAAAAAUCAUCAAAGCAUGGCCGCUGAGGAGAGAGAAAGAGCAACAAAGAAGAAAUUGCAACAUUUUCUGAUGCAGAUGCUAAAGAUGGGAUGUGUAAAGGGUUUCAAGUAUUUUGAUAUUUACAUGAGAGGAAGAGAAGAAAUGAUAUGUACGAUCAUGAAUGAUGACAUGGCGCACAAAGAAACUGUACCUUCUGUGUUUGAGAAGGAAAGAUUCACGUUCAACAAAACUGGAAGCGGCAGUUUUGACACAUUACCCCUUGAACAAAGAGAAUUGAUGCUCUCACAAAAUACACAGCAGAAACUCAGUGGCCUUGGAUACAUGGAUGUGGGUCUGCCGCCAGCUUCACCCAGUGAGAGAGAAAUUGGUCCAAUUACUGCAGAGUCUACAUUGUUUCUUAUAGCUGGUUAUGGGAAGUAUAACUGUCCAUAUGUGUGGGUAAGGAGCAAUCAUGACAGACUGGUGAAGCUAUCUGAUAACACAUCUUUCUCUAAAGACAGUCCACUUAGACUCAAGUCUACAUCAACCUGGGGUAAGAGUGAUGUGAAGGUAUGGCAGAUAAUAGCUGAGCUAGUUAAGCUCUGUACUCGGCCUGCCCCAAGAAUCCCUUUGAAGUUAACAUGGAUUACUUUGAUACUCUGUCAAGCAAGGGAGAGAGGGUCAUUGCCCUGGGCGCCAUGGCUUAUUUCUUACAGAUUGUAGUGACUGAAGGGUGUGAGAGGUCUUUCAGUGGUUUAGUUGCUGAUGAUCUAAGAGAAGUACAUCGCCUACAUCUGAAAGAAUUCCAGGAGGUUAUACGAGAGUCUACAUUGACUCAGCAGCAAUCGAAGAGAGGAUCUAGUAGAGAGGGUGGUGGGUCCGGUGGUACGUCACCCAGAAGACAAGGUAGUCUUACACCUAGAGGUCCAGGUAUGGCGGUCAGUCAGAGGCAAGAGGCUCAAGGGCAGUAUGGAGGUGGAGCUUAUGGACAGCCUGGACAUGCUUACUGAUGCAUAUUCAUAAGGAGAUGGAGCUUAUGGACAGCCUGGACAUGCUUACUGAUGCAUAUUCAUAAGGAGGUGGGGUUUAUAGACAGCCUGGACAUGCUUACUGAUGCAUAUUCAUUAGGAGGUGGGGUUUAUAGACAGCCUGGACAUACUUACUGAUUCAUACCCAUAAGUAGAUGGAGCUUAUGGACAGCCUGGACAUGCUUUCUGAUGCAUAUUCAUAAGGAGGUGGGGCUUAUGGACAGAGAUACAAGGCUCAAACCUGGUGAAUAUAUGUAUUACCAAGACCCUGAUUUCUGUGUGAAAUUACAGGUUAAAGCCCAGGUAUCGGUAUUGCAUUAUGUUGAGAACCACUAGAGAUAUGGGGUUCAAACUUGGUGAUAUUUAUUAUGUAUCAUCAUCGGAAGACAAUCUGAAUAGGUAUUUGGAAAGUAGGUCAAUGUUCAAAGGUCAUAAAGGUCAAUUUGUGAAAUUGGAGGUAUAAGUUGUGUUAUCACAAUAUGUCAAGGACUGCUUGAAUUAUAUUUUGGGCUAGCUGGCUAAGAUCAUACAUUGUAGUUGUCAAUUGAUGUGUAAAUAUAGCUUUUUUUUCUUUUUCAUUGUGAAUAGUCACAAAUAAUUCCAUCCAUUUCCUAAACUGAAUUUAGGGCUGAGGCAUAUAGGAGAUGCAGUCGCAUUUGUCAUGUUUUUAGAUAGAUGCAAAUGUACAAUGUCCAAACUCAAUUGGAAUGGAGUUGUGAGUAAUAAAAACAAUACUUCAAAUUUGCAUCAGUCGAAGUGUCAUCAAUGUUGAGAUAGCACACCUAGAACUAAGCUUUUAAAAUACCGGUAUUCAUUUUUAAGGUUGUCAUUCUACUUUUACAUCACACAGCUAGUGCUGGGUUAACUAGAUUUUAUAUAUAUACAGGUAAUCAGUGUUUUAUAUAAAUACAGAGCUGCCAACCCUCCUGUUUUUAUGCAAAAAGGGGUCAUAUUUUGUUGAAAAUGUUCAAUUACUAUUAUAAAAACACCAUCGGGCCACAGAAUCUCAGAAACCUCAGAUUCCUUAUAAAUCAUACCCAAAUUUACUGUCAAAAUAUUCAAAUAACAUUAACAAUUUGUGCACAAAAGGAGUGCAGAAUGCCCGGACCCCACCCGCAAUAGCUCACUCACAAUGCUCGCUUCAUAAAGAUCUCCCUGAUUACAAAAACCAAAUGUUGGCAGCUCUGUAUAUAUUCAUGAUAGUAGAAUUAUCUGCCCUCAAAUUGUUUGAAAUGAGCAGUGUAGCUAGUAUUAAUAAAUAAAUCAAGGCAACUUGUAAUACCUCGCUUUUAUACUGAAGACCGUUUCUUAAUUUUGUAUACAUUUUUUGUCCUUUCUAUACAACUUUCAUUGGGUACUGACUUGUGCCUUUUUCCCACCAACUGAUAAGCUCCAUUUCUACAGCAACAUUGAUUAUUUCAGUGGUACUCUGUUCAGUUCUGUUGCAUGGAGGACUUUGUAAAUGAGGAUUAUUGCCUUGUACAUUGACUGUGCUACACAUGAAUUGGAGCAAAGUACAAAUCGGCCAAUUAUUGCAUGAUCCAAUCAAAAGCCAAAACAUGUUUGCACAAACCAAUUUUUUUCUUCUUCAAAAUAAGCCAGAGCUUCUUAAAAGUUGCCAAGACCAACCUUUUUCUUUAAAGGGACCGGUAUGCAUAGACUUAUGGGGUCUAUUACGCGAGGAAUAUGCAUAUUCCCGAAUUUGACGCCCUUUGACACGCUAUCUUCAUCAUGUAAUUGGAGAUAUUAUUAAAAUAAAAUCAACCAGAUUCUGGACUAGAGUAAAUUAUCAUAA